Hippocampus zosterae (dwarf seahorse) is the source of this 545-nucleotide long non-coding RNA. RefSeq lists it as uncharacterized. The record is from RefSeq and is a predicted model, not a curated record. The transcript is spliced from 2 exons. NCBI's taxonomy places the organism in Eukaryota, Metazoa, Chordata, Actinopteri, Syngnathiformes, Syngnathidae.
GCCCCCGAGCCGUGGAUGGGAUUCUGCUCACUCGCUGGCUUUCCUCCGGUUUCUGCUGAUGUCUCGAUAACGUCAAGGGCUGGCGUAUGGCUCCUUUAAUGUAGCAGCUUCCCCCCCCCCCACACCACCCCCCGAACACACACACACACACCCAACACCACCCGCUUCCAUCCUACACGUCCCCCCCCCCUCCCUCCCCUUUCGAAAGCCGCCACAUCUCCUCCCGCAGUGCACCGUGAGGGAGCUGCAGCCUGCCUCCUCCUCCUCCGGCGGCGUCCCGACAGCCAUGUGAUGCUUCGCUUUGUUCCUUUCUUCUUCUUCUUCUUCUUCUUCUUCUUGUCGUUCUUCUUGUUGUUGUUUUCCGCCGCCAUCCCUCGACCGGACGGGAGCUGACAAAGCCAAACGCUUCACAUGGGUGCUUGGACCAGAGCGAAAGACGACGCGUGGGAGAGCAGCACCUCAUCCGCCAACGUCAGCCGGAGCGGUGUUGGAGAGCGGCAAUGGUCAAGUCAGCGAGAACCGCAGUGGAGCCGCACUGAGGCAAA